RNAcentral lists this ribosomal RNA (481 nucleotides) under uncultured bacterium. RNAcentral describes it as "partial 16S ribosomal RNA". It matches the Rfam family "Bacterial small subunit ribosomal RNA", at positions 355 to 853 of the family's 1533-position model. The record is from RNAcentral.
UGGGGAAUAUUGGACAAUGGGGGCAACCCUGAUCCAGCCAUGCCGCGUGAGUGAUGAAGGCCUUCGGGUUGUAAAGCUCUUUUUGGCGGGGACGAUGAUGACGGUACCCGCAGAAUAAGCCCCGGCUAACUUCGUGCCAGCAGCCGCGGUAAGACGAAGGGGGCUAGCGUUGUUCGGAAUUACUGGGCGUAAAGCGAGUGUAGGCGGUUGCCGUAGUCAGGUGUGAAAGCCUUGAGCUCAACUCAAGAAAUGCACUUGAUACUGGGUGACUAGAGGACCGGAGAGGAUAGUGGAAUUCCCAGUGUAGUGGUGAAAUACGUAGAGAUUGGGAAGAACACCAGUGGCGAAGGCGGCUAUCUGGACGGUUACUGACGCUAAGACUCGAAAGCGUGGGGAGCAAACAGGAUUAGAUACCCUGGUAGUCCACGCCGUAAACGAUGGGUGCUAGACGUUGGCGAGCUUGCUCGUCAGUGUCGCAGCU